Long non-coding RNA from Coturnix japonica (Japanese quail), 1029 nucleotides. Lineage: Eukaryota; Metazoa; Chordata; Aves; Galliformes; Phasianidae. The record is from Ensembl.
ACAAUCGGUGGCGGCGGCGGAGCGCUGCCCGGGCACCGAAACUUCCCGGCCGCGGGGCGAGGCGGGCCCACCGUCCCCCACACCCGCGACAACGGGGGCCGGGCCGGAGCGGCGCCGCGGGGCCGGGAGGGUCCCCGCACAAACGAGUCUCCCCUCCCGCCGUGCCCUCGGCUCGCGGGGGGUCGCCGUUCGGCCGCAGCCCGGCGGAGGGGCCGGAAGGCGGAGCGGGUGGGACGCGCCGCACACCCGCCGCCCCCCGGCCCGUCGCCUCGCGCCCCCCCUUCCCCCUCGCCGCCGUCCCGCACCGACCUGGGACAGAAAGGAGCGGCCGCCGCCCGCCGCUCAGCCGUCGCCUCCUCGCUUCCCGCUCGCAGCGCAGUCCAGGCCGCGGCAGCAGCGGGGUGGCGUAGCGCGGGCAUCCGCCGCCAGCGCCCGCUGCUCCCGGAGCGGCCCGCGACACCGGCGCUGGGCGGGGAAGGGGGGGCCGCCGGGAGAUUGCCGCGCGCCGCUUCCUGCCGCCCGGCGCACGGGGACGGCGGCUGCCGGAGGGUCUCGGCGCGGCACAGCCUCGCGGCCGCCGGUGCAACAACGAUCUCUCGUCUAGGCGGAGGCAGGAGCCGGCGGCGGCGAAACCCUCGGCCGCCGCAUCCCCAGCCUCCCCGCCGGGCUUUCCGCGCCGCCUCCGGCUCCGAGGAGUCGCUCCCGCGGCGCUGCUGGCAGCCGGAGCCCCGUCGCCGCGCCCGGCUCGGGCUCUUGCUCCCCCUGCCGCUCCGCCGGGCCGAGCUCGGGCUCCUCCCGCGGCUCCGUGGGGCCGGGCCGGGGCGGAGGGGAGCGGCCGGCAGCCGGCGGUUCGCGGGCGGGACCUCGACCUCCCGCGGGCCCAUCUCGGCCGUCGGGGCCCGAUUCCCCCGGGACCCCUCCGCGGGACCGCGGGCACGGAGCGGCGGGGGGCGGGGAGGGCUCCGUGCCAUGGGCACCGCUGCCUGGGCUCGGAAUCACCGGGGCAGGGGGUGGGCGGGGGACAGCUGA